CGUUAAGGGCGAUGGGUAAAACCCCAACGGUUGCUCGCUUGAACCAUCUCUGGUUGGUCAAGCGAUAAGACUUAACCAGAGCUCCCUUUCAUCUCGGGAUAAAGGAUGAACCCCGUUGCGUCGGGUCAACGCAACUAAGCCUGUGAAUGAGCGGACGGUCAAUAGCCGGUCUGGACAGCAGUUCGAUUCUGCUCGGCUCCAUUA
Molecule: transfer-messenger RNA, 204 nt
Filed under: Halothece sp. Uz-M2-17
Lineage: Bacteria; Bacillati; Cyanobacteriota; Cyanophyceae; Chroococcales; Halothecacae
Description: partial transfer-messenger RNA
Rfam family: transfer-messenger RNA
About the family: Bacterial tmRNA, also known as 10Sa RNA or SsrA, is named for its dual tRNA and mRNA-like properties. Its role is to liberate the mRNA from a stalled ribosome.
Source: RNAcentral